Molecule: long non-coding RNA, 235 nt
Filed under: Homo sapiens (human)
Lineage: Eukaryota; Metazoa; Chordata; Mammalia; Primates; Hominidae
Description: non-protein coding lnc-ACADSB-2:1
Source: RNAcentral
AGAGUGGGGACAGAGUGAAGUGACCCCAGUCCCUGAGCUUCAGGUGGAGGACAGGCAAGUAUGUGACUAAUUGUGAGAUGCAAUGUGAGAACUGUGUCAGUAGUGUAGACACCAUUCUGCCAUGAAGAUCUCUACCACAGGAAAGGAAUUCUAGGAAGGCUUCACAGAGCAGGUGUCCCAAAAGAACUAAGCUUGAAGGAAAAGUGGGAAAAUCCCAUAUGGGAAAGGAAAUGGC